Molecule: long non-coding RNA, 313 nt
Filed under: Lupinus angustifolius (narrow-leaved blue lupine)
Lineage: Eukaryota; Viridiplantae; Streptophyta; Magnoliopsida; Fabales; Fabaceae
Description: long non-coding RNA (LANG_LNC001829)
Source: RNAcentral
AUUUUCAAGUGGUAAUGAACCUAUUGAAAUAUCAAGUGAUGCUAUGUACUACGGGAAAUUGGUUGACAUCAUAGAGUUAGACUACUAUGGUAAGUUAAGGGUUGUGCUAUUCAAAUGUGAUUGGGUAGACACUACACUUAACAAGGGAAUCAAAAUUGAUAAAUUUGGGAUAACAAGUGUAAACUUUUCAUGUUUAAUACACACCGGUGCAAAUGAAGCAGAUGAACCAUUCAUCCUUGCAACUGAUGCUAGAAUGGUAUAUUAUAUUGAUGAUCCAGUUGAUCAAGGUUGGUGUUGUGUUUGCCACAUGAAG